GACGAACGCUGGCGGCGUGCUUAACACAUGCAAGUCGAACGGAAAGGCCCUGCUUUUGUGGGGUGCUCGAGUGGCGAACGGGUGAGUAACACGUGAGUAACCUGCCCUUGACUUUGGGAUAACUUCAGGAAACUGGGGCUAAUACCGGAUAGGAGCUCCUGCUGCAUGGUGGGGGUUGGAAAGUUUCGGCGGUUGGGGAUGGACUCGCGGCUUAUCAGCUUGUUGGUGGGGUAGUGGCUUACCAAGGCUUUGACGGGUAGCCGGCCUGAGAGGGUGACCGGCCACAUUGGGACUGAGAGACGGCCCAGACGCCUACGGGAGGCAGCAGUGGGGAAUAUUGCACAAUGGGCGGAAGCCUGAUGCAGAAACGCCGCGUGCGGAAUGACGGCCUUCGGGUUGUAAACCGCUUUCGCCUGUGACGAAGCGUGAGUGACGGUAAUGGGUAAAGAAGCACCGGCUAACUACGU
RNAcentral lists this ribosomal RNA (467 nucleotides) under uncultured bacterium. Its description in RNAcentral is "partial 16S ribosomal RNA". It matches the Rfam family "Bacterial small subunit ribosomal RNA", at positions 28 to 506 of the family's 1533-position model. The record is from RNAcentral.